RNAcentral lists this ribosomal RNA (788 nucleotides) under uncultured archaeon. Its description in RNAcentral is "bacterial SSU rRNA". It matches the Rfam family "Archaeal small subunit ribosomal RNA", at positions 530 to 1316 of the family's 1478-position model. The record is from RNAcentral.
UUAAUCAGUCUUCUGGGAAAUCUAAUCGCUUAACUAUUAGGCUUCCAGGGGAUACUGUUAGACUUGGGACCGGGAGAGGUAAGAGGUACUGCAGGGGUAGGAGUGAAAUCUUGUAAUCCCUGUGAGACCACCAGUGGCGAAGGCGUCUUACCAGAACGGGUCCGACGGUGAGGGACGAAAGCUGGGGGCACGAACCGGAUUAGAUACCCGGGUAGUCCCAGCUGUAAACGAUGCUCGUUAGGUGUCAGGAACGGUGCGACUGUUUCUGGUGCCGAAGGGAAGCCGUGAAACGAGCCACCUGGGAAGUACGGCCGCAAGGCUGAAACUUAAAGGAAUUGGCGGGGGAGCACUACAACGGGUGGAGCCUGCGGUUUAAUUGGACUCAACGCCGGAAAACUCACCGGGGGCGACAGCAAUAUGUAGGUCAGGUUAAAGGUCUUACCUGAAUCGCUGAGAGGAGGUGCAUGGCCGUCGUCAGUUCGUACUGUGAAGCAUCCUGUUAAGUCAGGCAACGAGCAAGACCCGUGCCCACUGUUACCAGCAUAUCCUUUAUGGAUGAUGGGGACUCUGUGGGGACCGCUGCUGCUAAAGCAGAGGAAGGUGCGGGCUACGGUAGGUCAGUAUGCCCCGAAUCUCCCGGGCUACACGCGGGCUACAAUGGUUGGGACAAUGGGUAUCUACUCCGAAAGGAGUUGGCAAUCUCUUAAACCCAAUCGUAGUUCGAAUUGAGGGCUGUAACUCGCCCUCAUGAAGCUGGAAUCCGUAGUAAUCGCGUUUCAACAUAGCGC